RNAcentral lists this ribosomal RNA (1349 nucleotides) under uncultured prokaryote. RNAcentral describes it as "partial 16S ribosomal RNA". It matches the Rfam family "Bacterial small subunit ribosomal RNA", at positions 27 to 1379 of the family's 1533-position model. The record is from RNAcentral.
GGAUUAACGCUAGCGGCAGGCCUAAUACAUGCAAGUCGAACGGUAAAUAAGUAGCAAUACUUAUGAGAGUGGCGGACGGGUGAGUAACGCGUAUGCAACCUACCUUUUACAGAGGAAUAGCCCAGAGAAAUUUGGAUUAAUACCUCAUAGUACUUUUAGAUCACAUGGUUUAAUAGUUAAAGCUUCGGCGGUAAAAGAUGGGCAUGCGUGACAUUAGAUUGUUGGCGGGGUAACGGCCCACCAAGUCUGCGAUGUCUAGGGGUUCUGAGAGGAUGAUCCCCCACACUGGUACUGAGACACGGACCAGACUCCUACGGGAGGCAGCAGUGAGGAAUAUUGGUCAAUGGGCGCAAGCCUGAACCAGCCAUCCCGCGUGAAGGAAGACUGCCCUAUGGGUUGUAAACUUCUUUUAUGUACCAAGAAUGUGAGCUACGUGUAGCUUUUUGACGGUAGUACAUGAAUAAGCAUCGGCUAACUCCGUGCCAGCAGCCGCGGUAAUACGGAGGAUGCGAGCCUUAUCCGGAUUUAUUGGGUUUAAAGGGUGCGCAGGCGGGCUAUUAAGUCAGCGGUGAAAUCCUACAGCUUAACUGUAGAACUGCCGUUGAUACUGAUAGUCUUGAGUUUGGUUGAGGUAGGCGGAAUGUGUCAUGUAGCGGUGAAAUGCUUAGAUAUGACACAGAACACCGAUUGCGAAGGCAGCUUACUAAACCAAUACUGACGCUGAGGCACGAAAGCGUGGGGAGCGAACAGGAUUAGAUACCCUGGUAGUCCACGCCGUAAACGAUGAAUACUCGCUGUUAGCAAUACACAGUUAGCGGCUAAGCGAAAGCAUUAAGUAUUCCACCUGGGGAGUACGAUCGCAAGAUUGAAACUCAAAGGAAUUGACGGGGGCCCGCACAAGCGGAGGAACAUGUGGUUUAAUUCGAUGAUACGCGAGGAACCUUACCUGGGCUUAAAUGUAGUUUGAUUUUAUUGGAACGAUAUUUCCCUUCGGGGCAAAUUACAAGGUGCUGCAUGGUUGUCGUCAGCUCGUGCCGUGAGGUGUCGGGUUAAGUCCCAUAACGAGCGCAACCCCUAUUGUUAGUUGCUAACAGGUCAUGCUGAGGACUCUAAUAAGACUGCCAUCGUAAGAUGAGAGGAAGGUGGGCAUGACGUCAAAUCAGCACGGCCCUUACGUCCAGGGCUACACACGUGUUACAAUGGCCGGUACAGAGGGCAGCUACACAGCGAUGUGAUGCGAAUCUCCAAAGCCGGUCUCAGUUCGGAUCGGGGUCUGCAACUCGACUCCGUGAAGUUGGAUUCGCUAGUAAUCGGAUAUCAGCCAUGAUCCGGUGAAUACGUUCCCGGGC